UUUGAAGUUUUUUCCCUACCCCAGCUAGUAACAGAUCGCCCACAUCCACGAUCCCGCGGCCCUGCCUUCCGCCGGCCCUGCGCCGACCGCUCCGAUCUCGCGAUCCUGCGUCCCGCCGGCGACCCGUGCCCCGCCCCACGCCGUCCCGGUGAGGUUCUGCGCCGACCGCUCCCGUCCCACCCCUGUGUCGCCGGCUCCCGCGACUCCCUGCGCCGUCGGCUCCCGUCACGCCUGCGCCGCCGAUUCCCCCGGUGUUCGUCGUCACCAGCAAGAUUAAUUGUCGCACAACGACUGGGGCCACCUCCAUCUGCUGCGGCAGGUGUGGCGUGGCACAUUUGGGCAUGAGGGGAGGAUGCUGUCAUGAGACGUAGUCGUUGCCAAGUACGUCAGGUUGCCACCACCACCAAAGUCGCAGUAGCCGAAGUCAACGGCUGUGAACUAGGCUGGUUCAUGGUGAGGAUACUGUGCGAGUAUAUCUUCUGUCCUCGAUUGUAUCAGGUGGAGCAAGAAGUAGCAUAUUUGGUUAUAGUACUUGGUUGCAUGUAAAUUCUUUGAGCGAAUGCCUAUACUCUGCGAAUUAAGUUGUAUAUUGCAUUUUUAACAACUGUUUUCCCUAUCAAAUAGUUUGAUUAUAACUGUAUGCAACGAUUCAUGAAUCAAGUUGUAUAUUGCGAAUUAAGUUUGAUUAUAACUGGUAUGCAACAUUGUACUAUCCUUACUCUUCAAAAUUCAUGAUCAAUUCAAGCACACUUCUUCUGGUAUGUUUUAUAUUUAUUAAUGCAUACUUCUGAGUUUACAUUGAAAAAGGUGCAACUUGCUGUUUGAUUACAAGCAAAACAGGUGCUUCGUGAGACGUCUCUGCAGAGCAGUUUCAGCAAUAGGUGGUGUGGUUGUUUGCCAUCAUCAACCACACGGCGGCAUCUCUGACUUCAUAUGGCUGUGCAGCUCUUGGCAGGAAAUGGGUGAAUUCAAGGAGCUGAUGCACAGCGGUGGUGCUGUGGAGAGGUGAGCUAUGGUAAGAGUGGAUGCUGCAGUCUAGCAGACAUGGCAUGCAGACAUCACACCACUGCAAACAGGUGAGAACAAAUGAAUUAUUUUCUUAUUGUUGUCAACAAAUGAACUAGUACCAAAUAAUAAUUAAUGCAUUACUGAAUCCAUGUGAAAGUCUCAGACCUGUGAUGUCUUGGCGCCUGCAUGUAUAACUGAAUUCAUGUGAAGUAUCUUGAACCAAUGAUGUCUUAGCACCUGCUUUCAGACAAGAGCCUCUUUGAUGAAAUUUAAUCUAGUGAUAUGGCUGCCAUUGGAGCUGGCCAUGCUGACUUCCUGCAAAACUUUCAGACGGUUUUGCAAAUUCCUUCCUGCUAGUUCAUUUUGGCAUAGCAUUGUCGUCAGUUUGUUCUUCAGCUCACAUUCAUUUUGUUUUGGCUCUUGUGUGAUAUUUGUUCUGUAAAUCAUUAAAAGGACCUGGUUUGUUGCUAAAUAAAUUUAACUUAACCUUGUAUAUGGAAUAUAUUUGGAUCAAUACACUUUCUUUAUUAUUCCAUAUGUUCUGAAGCUUUAGCCCCUCCAUACAUUAUGGUUCAUGAAUCAUGAUACUAGUUUGCGCGAUCAAUAUGCUUUAUCUUAUCUGAAAUGCUUACGGUAUCCCCGAUUGGCUUCGUGUAGUCAUGUUUGAUACGGAUAUUGUGAGUUGCUGUCUCUGCAGUGAUGAUGGGAUCGGUCCUGCUGGCAUCUUGUCAAGCCCAUUCUGACUGUAACAAGCUGCAGGAGAUAUGGAUUUCAGGAAGUAAAAUUGCAGGAGAGCAAGGAGCUCGCUGCUGGCGCAUCUCAGAGGGAGGAGCAAGGCUCUGUGGCCAUUGCAAGGUUGAUGACAAUGGCAAGCACAGCAGGGAUCGGCUGCCCAGGAAACAGAUUGUGCCAGCAAAAACUUAUUCCUUAGAGUUGCACAAUCUCUGUGUUGUAUUAGUAUUCGGUUCAAGCGAGAUGCAGAACUUAUUGACCCUGUUCUCUUCAUGGUUGCUGUCUCUUUGAUUCCAGGUUGUAAACUGUAGUGAUGUAUUUCCCCAGGGGUGAAAGUUUAGCCUGCUUCAUUAAAAAUAUUACAUUGUGUUUUUGUGAUCCAACAUAUUAUUAGUUAUAUCCAGGUUCGCUUUGUCUCA
Molecule: long non-coding RNA, 2159 nt
Organism: Panicum virgatum (switchgrass)
Lineage: Eukaryota; Viridiplantae; Streptophyta; Magnoliopsida; Poales; Poaceae
Exons: 2
Source: RefSeq, a predicted model, not a curated record